Molecule: ribosomal RNA, 269 nt
Filed under: uncultured archaeon
Lineage: Archaea
Description: partial 16S ribosomal RNA
Rfam family: Archaeal small subunit ribosomal RNA
Source: RNAcentral
CAGCACCUCAAGUGGUCAGGAUGAUUAUUGGGCCUAAAGCAUCCGUAGCCGGCGCUGUAAGUUUUCGGUUAAAUCUGUACGCUCAACGUACAGGCUGCCGGGAAUACUGCAGCGCUGGGGAGUGGGAGAGGUAGACGGUACUCGGUAGGAAGGGGUAAAAUCCUUUGAUCUAUUGAUGACCACCUGUGGCGAAGGCGGUCUACCAGAACACGUCCGACGGUGAGGGAUGAAAGCUGGGGAGCAAACCGGAUUAGAUACCCGAGUAGUCC